This 764-nucleotide ribosomal RNA is filed under the name uncultured actinomycete. Its description in RNAcentral is "bacterial SSU rRNA". It matches the Rfam family "Bacterial small subunit ribosomal RNA", at positions 630 to 1392 of the family's 1533-position model. Lineage: Bacteria; Bacillati; Actinomycetota; Actinomycetes; Actinomycetales. The record is from RNAcentral.
AUACGGGCAGACUAGAGUGCUGCAGGGGAGACUGGAAUUCCUGGUGUAGCGGUGGAAUGCGCAGAUAUCAGGAGGAACACCGGUGGCGAAGGCGGGUCUCUGGGCAGCUACUGACGCUGAGGAGCGAAAGCGUGGGGAGCGAACAGGAUUAGAUACCCUGGUAGUCCACGCCGUAAACGGUGGGUACUAGGUGUGGGUUCUUUCCUAAGGAUCCGUGCCGUAGCUAACGCAUUAAGUACCCCGCCUGGGGAGUACGGCCGCAAGGCUAAAACUCAAUGGAAUUGACGGGGGCCCGCACAAGCGGCGGAGCAUGUGGAUUAAUUCGAUGCAACGCGAAGAACCUUACCUGGGUUUGACAUGCACAGGACGCGUCUAGAGAUAGGCGUUCCCUUUGGGCCUGUGUGCAGGUGGUGCAUGGCUGUCGUCAGCUCGUGUCGUGAGAUGUUGGGUUAAGUCCCGCAACGAGCGCAACCCUUGUCCCAUGUUGCCAGCGGGUGAUGCCGGGGACUCAUGGGAGACUGCCGGGGUCAACUCGGAGGAAGGUGGGGAUGACGUCAAGUCAUCAUGCCCCUUAUGUCCGGGGCUUCACACAUGCUACAAUGGCCGGUACAAAGGGCUGCGAAGCCGUGAGGUGGAGCGAAUCCCUGCAAAGCCGGUCUCAGUUCGGAUCGGGGUCUGCAACUCGACCCCGUGAAGUCGGAGUCGCUAGUAAUCGCAGAUCAGCAACGCUGCGGUGAAUACGUUCCCGGGCCUUGUACACACCG